Molecule: long non-coding RNA, 516 nt
Filed under: Salvia miltiorrhiza (redroot sage)
Lineage: Eukaryota; Viridiplantae; Streptophyta; Magnoliopsida; Lamiales; Lamiaceae
Description: long non-coding RNA (SMIL_LNC004293)
Source: RNAcentral
AGGGACCAUUCAUAAGAUUGGAAGGAUCUAAAGGGGUUCCUAGGCUCAAGCAAUAAAGAUCAAAGUGUGCACAUCUAAUCCAAACCAUCAUCCACAAUUUCAAGUUCAUAGAGAAAGAAAGAAACCAACUUGGGGGGAAAACUCCCACAAUAACAAUGAUACUACAUGCUCAACUCAAACUGGUGCAACAACUUUUUUUUCUGUUUUCUUUACUUUUCUUUUUUUUUUCUUCUUUUUUUCUUUUUUUUUUUCUUUUUUUUUCUUUUCAGCAGCACCCUUUUUUUUUAUAUAUCCCCAAUCAACAUGCAAUCAUCAUUUACAAAAUAUCCCCACAAAUCAUCUCCCAAAUCCAAUCUGAAUUCACUGCCACUGUUUGGCCAAACGGAUCACAGAUCCUUAUCAUCUAGCACAAGACAGCAGUUUGGGCAAACGACACAUGUAAACACAGCUUAACUUUCUCUAGUAAUUAAUGGAAUGAAGUUCAAGAUUAGACAUGCAUUACUAGGCCAAAGAGAG